GCAGAAGCUCCUCUGCAUGCAGAGGACACUCCGGAAUUGCAAUAGGCUCCCCACAUCACAGUCACUCCUCUCUCCUAGAAGAACAGUUGGAUAAAUCAUCACAGAGGUCUCCAGGGUUAAAUUCCAACCUCUCAGAGCAGAUCAGUUGGUUACCAAAAGACUUCAGCGGGCCCCGGAUAGCACUGCAACAUGACCAGCUGCUGCCAAAGGAUGCCUCUGCAGUAUUUUACUCAGAGAGUUCUUCCCUGUGGAUCCCCUCAGCAGCUUUGCCAGAACUGAACCUAAGCUCAGCUGCUAAGGCAGCAAAUUGCACAGCUUAA
This 320-nucleotide long non-coding RNA is filed under the name Cyanistes caeruleus (blue tit). RNAcentral describes it as "lncRNA (ENSCCEG00000016731.1)". Lineage: Eukaryota; Metazoa; Chordata; Aves; Passeriformes; Paridae. The record is from RNAcentral.